Molecule: RNA transcript, 631 nt
Organism: Lactuca sativa (garden lettuce)
Lineage: Eukaryota; Viridiplantae; Streptophyta; Magnoliopsida; Asterales; Asteraceae
Source: RefSeq, a predicted model, not a curated record
AGGGUUUGAAGCUGAUCUUGGAUCGGAGGGUUCAUGGCGGAGGAUGACAUGGUCAGUCAGGUGAGACACCCACUGAGGACGACGGAGGGAAGGAAGAUGUGUGUACGUAAUUAGCCUUAUAAGAUCAUCCAACACGUGGUUUGGUGAACGUUUAAAGUGCGUCAACCAGACAGUGAGACUCGAACGCUUCGAUUUUUUUUCUUCUUCGUCCUCCUUCCUGACUCCUAAGCACAACAAAAAUCGGCACCGAUUGGGACAACAAAAAGCGUCACAAAUAAUCAAACAUGGUGUUGACUUGAAUCAUGUCACAUUAACUCAUGUAAUUUCAUAGAUAUGUUUGACGAAAAAUUUGAGACAAAUGGAAAUGGCAAGUCUAAUGCGAAGGCUGAUGGCUAUUCUGGUAAAGGCAAAAGGGAAAAGGGGGAUAAGGGAGGCUCUAGGAAAAAAAGAACCUCCUAAACUUUUGACGCAAGGUUGAAGAGAGGAUUUCUGAGAAUUUGACAUGUUUGAUGGAUUGUGAACCUGCACAAUUCUUGCAAGGAAUCCAAGAACACAUGGUGUUACUGUCAAAGGAUCCAUCGAUUAAAAUCCCAAUUUCAUUUGAUAGGGCAUUGCAGUAUGAAUCCAGAGG